This 253-nucleotide ribosomal RNA is filed under the name uncultured bacterium. RNAcentral describes it as "partial 16S ribosomal RNA". It matches the Rfam family "Bacterial small subunit ribosomal RNA", at positions 524 to 776 of the family's 1533-position model. The record is from RNAcentral.
UACAGAGGGUGCGAGCGUUAAUCGGAAUUAUUGGGCGUAAAGCGUGCGCAGGCGGUCUCUUAAGACAGGUGUGAAAUCCCCGGGCUUAACCUGGGAACUGCGCUUGUAACUGAGAGGCUAGAGUGUGGCAGAGGGGGGUGGAAUUCCACGUGUAGCAGUGAAAUGCGUAGAUAUGUGGAGGAACACCGAUGGCGAAGGCAGCCCCCUGGGCUAACACUGACGCUCAUGCACGAAAGCGUGGGGAGCAAACAGG